GUGGGGAAUAUUGGACAAUGGGGGGAACCCUGAUCCAGCCAUGCCGCGUGUGUGAAGAAGGCCUUUUGGUUGUAAAGCACUUUAAGCGAGGAGGAGGCUACCGAGAUUAAUACUCUUGGAUAGUGGACGUUACUCGCAGAAUAAGCACCGGCUAACUCUGUGCCAGCAGCCGCGGUAAUACAGAGGGUGCAAGCGUUAAUCGGAUUUACUGGGCGUAAAGCGCGCGUAGGUGGCCAAUUAAUUCAAAUGUGAAAUCCCCGAGCUUAACUUGGGAAUUGCAUUCGAUACUGGUUGGCUAGAGUAUGGGAGAGGAUGGUAGAAUUCCAGGUGUAGCGGUGAAAUGCGUAGAGAUCUGGAGGAAUACCGAUGGCGAAGGCAGCCAUCUGGCCUAAUACUGACACUGAGGUGCGAAAGCAUGGGGAGCAAACAGGAUUAGAAACCCGGGUAGUCC
Molecule: ribosomal RNA, 451 nt
Filed under: uncultured bacterium
Lineage: Bacteria
Description: partial 16S ribosomal RNA
Rfam family: Bacterial small subunit ribosomal RNA
Source: RNAcentral